RNAcentral lists this ribosomal RNA (500 nucleotides) under uncultured bacterium. RNAcentral's name for it is "bacterial SSU rRNA". It matches the Rfam family "Bacterial small subunit ribosomal RNA", at positions 58 to 603 of the family's 1533-position model. The record is from RNAcentral.
CAAGUCGCGCGGUCAGCAAUGGCAGCGGCGGACGGGUGCGUAACGCGUAGGAACGUGUCUAGAGGUGGGGGACAACCCUGGGAAACUGGGGCUAAUACCGCAUAUGGGCUGAGGCCCAAAGCCGUGAGGCGCCUUUGGAGCGGCCUGCGUCCGAUUAGCUAGUUGGUGGGGUAAAGGCCUACCAAGGCUCCGAUCGGUAGCUGGUCUGAGAGGACGAUCAGCCACACUGGGACUGAGACACGGCCCAGACUCCUACGGGAGGCAGCAGUGGGGAAUAUUGGACAAUGGGCGCAAGCCUGAUCCAGCAAUGCCGCGUGGGUGAAGAAGGUCUUCGGAUCGUAAAGCCCUUUCGACAGGGACGAUGAUGACGGUACCUGUAGAAGAAGCCCCGGCUAACUUCGUGCCAGCAGCCCGCGGUAAUACGAAGGGGGCUAGCGUUGCUCGGAAUUACUGGGCGUAAAGGGCGCGUAGGCGGCUUAAUCAGUCAGGCGUGAAAUUCC